AGCGAACGCUGGCGGCAGGCCUAACACAUGCAAGUCGAACGAAGUCUUCGGACUUAGUGGCGGACGGGUGAGUAACACGUGGGAACGUGCCUUUAGGUUCGGAAUAACUCAGGGAAACUUGUGCUAAUACCGAAUGUGCCCUUCGGGGGAAAGAUUUAUCGCCUUUAGAGCGGCCCGCGUCUGAUUAGCUAGUUGGUGAGGUAAAGGCUCACCAAGGCGACGAUCAGUAGCUGGUCUGAGAGGAUGAUCAGCCACAUUGGUACUGAGACACGGCCCAAACUCCUACGGGAGGCAGCUGUGGGUAAUCUUGCGCAAUGGACGAAAGCCUGACGCAGCCAUGCCGCGUGAAUGAUGAAGGUCUUAGGAUUGUAAAAUUCUUUCACCGGGGACGAUAAUGACGGUACCCGGAGAAGAAGCCCCGGCUAACUUCGUGCCAGCCGCCGCGGUAA
Molecule: ribosomal RNA, 449 nt
Filed under: uncultured bacterium
Lineage: Bacteria
Description: partial 16S ribosomal RNA
Rfam family: Bacterial small subunit ribosomal RNA
Source: RNAcentral